Non-coding RNA from Stegastes partitus (bicolor damselfish), 73 nucleotides. The record is from the annotation of a RefSeq genome assembly. NCBI's taxonomy places the organism in Eukaryota, Metazoa, Chordata, Actinopteri, Pomacentridae.
GUUUCCGUCGUGUAGUGGUCAUCACGUUUGCUUUACAUGCAAAAGGUCCUUGGUUUGAAACCAGGUGGAAACA